GGGAGAGAGGGCAGCCAGUCCCGGACUCCUGGGUCCCUCUCUCAGUUGGGGGAGAGCGGGCAGCCCUUUCCCGGACUCCUGGGUCCCUCUCUCAGUUGGGAGAGAGCGGGCAGCCCUUUCCCGGACUCCUGGGUCCCUCUCUCAGUUGGGGGAGAGCGGGCAGCCCUUUCCCGGACUCCUGGGUCCCUCUCUCAGUUGGGGGAGAGCGGGCAGCCCUUUCCCGGACUCCUGGGUCCCCCUCUCAGUUGGGGGAGAGCGGGCAGCCCAGUCCCGGACUCCUGGGUCCCUUUCUCAGUUGAGGGAGAGAGGGCAGCCAGUCCCGGACUCCUGGGUCCCUCUCUCAGUUGGGGGAGAGCGGGGAGCCCUUUCCCGGACUCCUGGGUCCCCCUCUCAGUUGAGGGAGAGAGGGCAGCCAGUCCCGGACUCCUGGGUCCCUCUCUCAGUUGGGGGAGAGCGGGCAGUCCUUUCCCGGACUCCUGGGUCCCUCUCUCAGUUGGGGGAGAGCGGGCAGCCCUUUCCCGGACUCCUGGGUCCCCCUCUCGGUUGGGGGAGAGCGGGCAGCCCAGUCCCGGACUCCUGGGUCCCUCUCUCAGUUGGGGGAGAGCGGGGAGCCCUUUCCCGGACUCCUGGGUCCCCCUCUCAGUUGGGGGAGAGCGGGCAGCCCAGUCCCGGACUCCUGGGUCCCUCUCUCAGUUGGGAGAGAGCGGGCAGCCCUUUCCCGGACUCCUGGGUCCCUCUCUCAGUUGGGGGAGAGCGGGCAGCCCAGUCCCGGACUCCUGGGUCCCUCUCUCAGUUGGGAGAGAGCGGGCAGCCCUUUCCCGGACUCCUGAGUCCCUCUCUCAGUUGGGGGAGAGCGGGCAGCCCUUUCCCGGACUCCUGGGUCCCUCUCUCAGUUGGGGGAGAGCGGGCAGCCCUUUCCCGGACUCCUGGGUCCCCCUCUCAGUUGAGGGAGAGAGGGCAGCCAGUCCCGGACUCCUGGGUCCCUCUCUCAGUUGGGGGAGAGCGGGCAGCCCUUUCCCGGACUCCUGGGUCCCCCUCUCGGUUGGGGGAGAGCGGGGAGCCCUUUCCCGGACUCCUGGGUCCCCCUCUCAGUUGAGGGAGAGAGGGCAGCCAGUCCCGGACUCCUGGGUCCCCCUCUCAGUUGGGGGAGAGCGGGCAGCCCUUUCCCGGACUCCUGGGUCCCUCUCUCAGUUGGGGGAGAACGGGGAGCCCUUUCCCGGACUCCUGGGUCCCUCUUUCAGUUGCGGGAGAGCGGGGGUCCCUUUCCCGGACUCCUGGGUCCCUCUCUCAGUUGGGGGAGGUGGGGCAGCCCUUUCCCGAACUCCUGGGUCCCUCUCUCGGUUGCGGGAGAGCGGGGGUCCCUUUCCCGGACUCCUGGGUCCCUCUCUCAGCCAGUUGCGGGGGUGGAGCCUGCCCGGACUCCUGGGUCCCCGGCAGAGGGGGGGGCGGGGCGGCUGUGACCCGGAAGAGGAAGCCGCGCGGGGUGUUGGCGUCGCCUCUCCCGGGCUGCUUCUCCUCCUUCCCCGCGGCCUCCGAGGAGCCUCCUUCUCCGCCUUGGGUCCCGGGCGCCCCGGGCAGCCGGAGAGGCCGCCAUGCCGGCGCUGCUGGAGAGGCCGAAGCUGA
Molecule: long non-coding RNA, 1623 nt
Organism: Podarcis muralis (Common wall lizard)
Lineage: Eukaryota; Metazoa; Chordata; Lepidosauria; Squamata; Lacertidae
Source: Ensembl